UUUUGUUUUUUCCAUUUUCUCUUUCUUGAACUUUUUUUUUUCCUUUUUCCAGAAGGCUCUUUCCUGAACUUCACAUGGAGGUAAUUUCGGUGGGAAUUGUGUAGCAAGACUUGAUCGGUUUUCAUUGCCUAAUCUCUGCCGUAAAUCAUGAUACUAAAUCAGAAUCCGUUUCUGGGGUGGGGGCCAAACGAAAUGUGCGAAACGUUUCAACGGCUUUUUUUUAGGCGAUGUUUGGGGCUGUUUCCUUUUGUCGUCUCUCUGCAUGAUCGAAUGUGGACUCGCUCAGAGAGGUCUAGAGCUACAAAGAUUUCCAAAACCAAACGAUUCGUUUGGGCCCAUGUUUGGUUGAUUGGACGGUUUCUGGAACCGGGUACUCAUUUGGGCUCAUGUUUGAUUGAUUGGACGGAUUCUGGAACUGGGGUAAAUAAUCGAGGCUGAGUGGUUGGAUUUCCUCACGUAAUGAUUUUCUCAAAUGAUAAUAUAUGUGUUUCUAGUAAUUGC
Morus notabilis is the source of this 501-nucleotide long non-coding RNA. RefSeq lists it as uncharacterized. NCBI's taxonomy places the organism in Eukaryota, Viridiplantae, Streptophyta, Magnoliopsida, Rosales, Moraceae. The transcript is spliced from 3 exons. The record is from RefSeq and is a predicted model, not a curated record.